UUCGCCUGCUCCAAGCUCGUCUCCUCUCCCUCAUUGGUCAAGAGCACCUCACAGCUGCUGAGCCGUCAGCUAUCUGCAGUGGUGCUGAAAUGACCGGAGAUACUGACAGAUGAGAGCCUCAGCAGCUUGGCAGUCUCACGUCCCCUUACCUCACUUGUCUCUAGCCGCAGCUUCCAAACCAGCACCAUUUCAAGGGACAUCGACACAACAGCCAAGUUCACUGGAGCUGGGGCUGCCGCAGUUGGGGUGGCUGGCUCUGCGGCUCAGAUUGGGACUGUGUUUGGGAGCCUCAUCAUUGGUUAUGCCAGGAACCCUUCUCUGAAGCAACAGCUCUUCUCCUACGCCACUCUGGGCUUUGCCCUCUGAGACGCCAUGGGGUGCUUUUGCCUGAUGGUGGCCUUUCUCAUCCUCUCUGCCAUG
This 420-nucleotide long non-coding RNA is filed under the name Homo sapiens (human). RNAcentral's name for it is "non-protein coding lnc-CASK-4:1". Lineage: Eukaryota; Metazoa; Chordata; Mammalia; Primates; Hominidae. The record is from RNAcentral.